RNAcentral lists this ribosomal RNA (441 nucleotides) under Triticum aestivum (bread wheat). RNAcentral's name for it is "partial small subunit ribosomal RNA". The record is from RNAcentral. Lineage: Eukaryota; Viridiplantae; Streptophyta; Magnoliopsida; Poales; Poaceae.
AUGUUACCUUGCAAAGCGUUCAUGCUGAGGUUGAGGUCGGCGAGUUGGGUCAGGAGGCCGAGCUCGGACGGUAUGCCGCCGUGGAAGCUGUUGUUUGAUAGGUGGAGCCUCGCCAGCGAAGUGAGGUUGGCAAUGCAAGGCGACAUGGAGCCUGAUAUGCCUUGUGAUUCAAGGUCCAGUGCAAUGACACGCAAUGGCGGCAUUGCGCUGCACAUGACCCCACGCCAGUCGCAGAAUUCCCGGGAAGCGUCACUCCAUGAAGCCAAAACUCCGGGUGGUCCGGAGAGCUGGGACUUGAAGCAGAGCAGGGCCUGUCUAUCAUUUUGGGAUUCAUCGCAGAUGGCUAGUGGCAGGCUGCAAAAGAAGCUGAAGAGGCAAAGGAACCUAGCAAGGCCUGUGAACAAAGAUGCCAUUGCUGUGACUUGGAGCUACACUGCGUGA